AUACCCAGGCUGUCCAGCUCGGUAGAAAGCAGAAACCCGCGGCCACCCCACGCUGCAAAGAGCAUCUGCUCCGAGAAGCAAGGACCCUGCGAGGCCUGAGAGGUGGGGAGAGAAGCUGGGAACGACAGCAAGGCCAGCCCCAACAGAUGGAAGCUACGGGGAGGCCAGUUUAAACUUGAUUGAAGGAGCUGUGAUUCACUGAAGGAAGGUGGAAAGGGUUCCUUCCCCACCCGAGGAAGCAGCAACCACAUCCCCUCAGUGGAGGAAUCCAUGAACUGUCCAAUUCGGACGGCACGAUCCACACGAUGUGUGUGGGCAGCUGCAGGCCCUGCUCUGCCCAGAUCCUUAGUGCUCCUGAGAGGAACACUGGCCCAGCGACACAUCCAUCUGGAACCCCGGGGAAGGCUGAAGUAAAACGUCUUGGUUUCCCCCUGCAUGUCCCAACAGGCUGUGUGUCCAAGGAAUCCGGAAGCCUCUGUAAGUCAUUUCUGUUGUCACUACUGUCCAGUGUUGGCUGUGACAUGGCCCCUGGAAGCCCAACAACGGCAGCCAAACCUGCUGAAGAAACGUGGAGACUUCGUGCUCCCCUCCAAACCAACCUUGAGGUCAUUGGCGGGAGGAACCGCAGACUCUCCCGACUCCUGGAAAGGAGCAUGUGAAGAUUCGGUCUCUUUCCAGAAGUUGUUCCAAUGGAAAUCAUCGUUUUGCACAGGAGAUAUUCUUGACUGUCCUUCUGGACAGUCUCACGAUCUAAAUGUUGUCCCUGGUGUCCUGCCUGGUGCUGUUUUCCAGGCAAUGGCAGUGGGCAAAGCCUGGCCAUUUUCCAGGGUCCAGUCACAGGGGAAUCCAGGGCACCAUGUUUGGGGGCCCAAGCGCAGAGCCCAGGCCUAAGUGUGUGCAGGUGGUUUCUUUUACAGCUUUACUGAGGAAUAACUGACAUACAAUAAACUU
This is a non-coding RNA of Delphinapterus leucas (beluga whale), 951 nucleotides long. NCBI's taxonomy places the organism in Eukaryota, Metazoa, Chordata, Mammalia, Artiodactyla, Monodontidae. The record is from RefSeq and is a predicted model, not a curated record.